RNAcentral lists this ribosomal RNA (702 nucleotides) under Triticum aestivum (bread wheat). Its description in RNAcentral is "partial small subunit ribosomal RNA". The record is from RNAcentral. Lineage: Eukaryota; Viridiplantae; Streptophyta; Magnoliopsida; Poales; Poaceae.
AUGGGGUGCUUGGACCUGAACAAGACCUUCUGCGACGACCUGAGUGCUCUCAUAGGACGCUAUUGGUGGAGCCAAAUGGACAAGACCAAUAAAAUCCACUGGAUUAGUUGGGAAAAGCUACCAAAGCCGAAAACAGAUGGAGGUUUGGGUUUUCGGAAUCUGCACUAUUUCAAUCUAGCUAUGUUGGCUAGACAAGCAUGGAGAAUCCUACAGAACCCCCAUUCCUUGUGCUCCCAAGUGCUGGCUGCCAGAUAUUUCCCAAAUGGAUCAAUGCUUGAGGCUAUUCCUUGUGCAGGUAUUUCCUAUACUUGGCGAAGCAUAAUAAAAGGCAUACAAUGGCUGAAGAAAGGGAUAAUAUGGAGAGUGGGAAACGGGGAAAGGAUCAAAAUAUGGACUGGUCCAUGGAUUCCUAGAGGAAGCACAAGGAGGCCCAAUACACCAAAAGGUAACCAUCUGGUGGACAAAGUAGCUGAUUUGAUCAACCCGAUAACAACCCAAUGGGAUAUGCAGCUAGUACAACAGACCUUCUCGGCUAAGGAUGCAAACCUCGUCAUGCGAAUACCCAUUCAAGAAGAUACAGAAGGGGAAAUCUCAAACUUCAAAUGGAAGUUGUGGGCGAUCCCUCUACCAAACAAAGUACUGCACUUCUUAUGGAGAGUUGCAACGUACAACCUUCCCAUGCGAAUGAAACUUCAUGGAAAA